CUAAUGGAAGGACAGUAGCUAUGCUGUCACUUUUCCACCGUCCAAGCGACCGCUACAGCCAAAUAACACGUCCAUUAUAUGGUUACCGCAACACUGGACACCAUCCCUGUUCCACUUUCUACAACAUGCUAGUCAAGGUGAAAUGUUGGGAGUCUGAGCAAUGUAAGCAGUGUUGGCCACUAUGCUACUGUAUCAGCCCGUCAGGAAGUGGGGCACGGCAGCAGUAGUCAAAAAUAUGAACAAAGAGGUACCAGUCCAUACAUACAGCAAAACAUGCAUGUAUGUCUGUUCAACAAAGGACUGGAAGAUGAGGAAAAGUUGGCCAUUACCUAGCACUUGCCUAAAUAUUCAAGUUUAAAUGGAUACGGUAGUACACCCCAGACACCGUCCUGCUCCAUUUUUUUCAUCCUUUUUUGAUUUUUUUGAAACCAACAGUUAUCCAAUGAAAUCACUAAUCUAGUAAGAUGUGUAACAUUCAUCAGCUGUUAUUUGCCGUCAAUGGAAAAUAAAAAGAUGUAAACUGAGCCAUGCUACCUUAAAGUCCAAGCUACGGGAUCAAAAGUUACCAAAAAAAGCGG
Molecule: long non-coding RNA, 578 nt
Organism: Alosa sapidissima (American shad)
Lineage: Eukaryota; Metazoa; Chordata; Actinopteri; Clupeiformes; Clupeidae
Exons: 2
Source: RefSeq, a predicted model, not a curated record